This 396-nucleotide ribosomal RNA is filed under the name Idiomarina sp. RNAcentral describes it as "bacterial SSU rRNA". It matches the Rfam family "Bacterial small subunit ribosomal RNA", at positions 1 to 391 of the family's 1533-position model. Lineage: Bacteria; Pseudomonadati; Pseudomonadota; Gammaproteobacteria; Alteromonadales; Idiomarinaceae. The record is from RNAcentral.
UUUAAUUGAAGAGUUUGAUCAUGGCUCAGAUUGAACGCUGGCGGCAGGCCUAACACAUGCAAGUCGAGCGGUAACAGAGAGAAGCUUGCUUCUCUGCUGACGAGCGGCGGACGGGUGAGUAAUACUUGGGAAUUUGCCUUUAGGCGGGGGACAACCACGGGAAACUGUGGCUAAUACCGCAUAAUGUCUACGGACCAAAGUGGGGGACCUUCGGGCCUCACACCUAAAGAUGAGCCCAAGCGGGAUUAGCUAGUUGGUGGGGUAAAGGCUCACCAAGGCGACGAUCCCUAGCUGUUCUGAGAGGAUGAUCAGCCACACUGGGACUGAGACACGGCCCAGACUCCUACGGGAGGCAGCAGUGGGGAAUAUUGCACAAUGGGGGAAACCCUGAUGCAG